GACGAACGCUGGCGGCGUGCUUAACACAUGCAAGUCGAACGGUGAAGCGCCUUCCUUUUUGGUGGGUGUGGAUGAGUGGCGAACGGGUGAGUAACACGUGAGUAACCUGCCCCCUUCUUCUGGAUAACCGCAUGAAAGUGUGGCUAAUACGGGAUAUUCUGGGUCUGUCGCAUGAUGGGUCUGGGAAAGAUAUUGUUUCGGUGGGGGAUGGGCUCGCGGCCUAUCAGCUUGUUGGUGGGGUGAUGGCCUACCAAGGCGGUGACGGGUAGCCGGCCUGAGAGGGUGGACGGUCACACUGGGACUGAGACACGGCCCAGACUCCUACGGGAGGCAGCAGUGGGGAAUAUUGCACAGUGGGCGCAAGCCUGAUGCAGCGACGCCGCGUGAGGGAUGGAGGCCUUCGGGUUGUGAACCUCCUUCGCCAGUGAAGCAGGCCUGCCUCGUUUGUGGGUGGGUUGACGGUAGCUGGAUAAGAAGCGCCGGCUAACUACGUG
This 494-nucleotide ribosomal RNA is filed under the name uncultured bacterium. RNAcentral describes it as "partial 16S ribosomal RNA". It matches the Rfam family "Bacterial small subunit ribosomal RNA", at positions 28 to 507 of the family's 1533-position model. The record is from RNAcentral.